GACGAACGCUGGCGGCAUGCCUAACACAUGCAAGUCGAGCGAGCUGAUUCCUUCGGGAUGAAGCUAGCGGCGGACGGGUGAGUAACACGUGGGCUACCUGCCUCAUAGAGGGGAAUAGCCUUCCGAAAGGAAGAUUAAUACCGCAUAAGAUUGCAUCUUCGCAUGAAGAAGCAAUUAAAGGAGCAAUCCGCUAUGAGAUGGGCCCGCGGCGCAUUAGCUAGUUGGUGAGGUAACGGCUCACCAAGGCGACGAUGCGUAGCCGACCUGAGAGGGUGAUCGGCCACAUUGGGACUAAGACACGGCCCAGACUCCUACGGGAGGCAGCAGUGGGGAAUAUUGCACAAUGGGGGAAACCCUGAUGCAGCAAUGCCGCGUGAGUGAUGACGGCCUUCGGGUUGUAAAGCUCUGUCUUCGGGGACGAUAAUGACGGUACCCGAGGAGGAAGCCACGGCUAACUACGUGCCAGCAGCCGCGGUAA
This 478-nucleotide ribosomal RNA is filed under the name uncultured bacterium. RNAcentral describes it as "partial 16S ribosomal RNA". It matches the Rfam family "Bacterial small subunit ribosomal RNA", at positions 28 to 523 of the family's 1533-position model. The record is from RNAcentral.